AUUGAACGCUGGCGGCAGGCUUAACACAUGCAAGUCGAACGAGUGGCGGACGGGUGAGUAAUGCUUGGGAAUCUAGCUUAUGGAGGGGGAUAACUACGGGAAACUGUAGCUAAUACCGCGUACCAUAGGAUGAGCCCAAGUGGGAUUAGGUAGUUGGUGAGGUAAAGGCUCACCAAGCCGACGAUCUCGAGCUGGUCGGAGAGGAUGACCAGCCACACUGGGACUGAGACACGGCCCAGACUCCUCCGGGAGGCAGCAGUGGGGAAGAUUGCGCAAUGGGGGCAACCCUGACGCAGCCAUGCCGCGUGAAUGAAGAAGGCCUUCGGGUUGUAAAGCACUUUCAGCGGGGAGGCGUUACCCGCAGAAGAAGCACCGGCUAACUCCGUGCCAGCCGCCGCGGUAAUAC
Molecule: ribosomal RNA, 406 nt
Filed under: uncultured bacterium
Lineage: Bacteria
Description: partial 16S ribosomal RNA
Rfam family: Bacterial small subunit ribosomal RNA
Source: RNAcentral